This 484-nucleotide ribosomal RNA is filed under the name uncultured bacterium. RNAcentral describes it as "partial 16S ribosomal RNA". It matches the Rfam family "Bacterial small subunit ribosomal RNA", at positions 29 to 507 of the family's 1533-position model. The record is from RNAcentral.
AGUGAACGCUGGCGGCAGGCCUAACACAUGCAAGUCGAGCGGCAGCGCGGGGGCAACCCUGGCGGCGAGCGGCGGACGGGUGAGGAAUUCGUCGGAAUCUGCCUUUUUGUGGGGGAUAACGUAGGGAAACUUACGCUAAUACCGCAUACGUCCUACGGGAGAAAGUGGGGGACCGCAAGGCCUCACGCAGAAAGAUGAGCCGACGACCGAUUAGCUAGUUGGUGGGGUAAAGGCCCACCAAGGCGACGAUCGGUAGCUGGUCUGAGAGGAUGAUCAGCCACACUGGGACUGAGAGACGGCCCAGACUCCUACGGGAGGCAGCAGUGGGGAAUAUUGGACAAUGGGCGCAAGCCUGAUCCAGCAAUGCCGCGUGUGUGAAGAAGGCCUUCGGGUUGUAAAGCACUUUUGUCCGGAAAGAAAUCCCUGGAGCUAAUACCUUCGGGGGAUGACGGUACCGGAAGAAUAAGCACCGGCUAACCUCGUG